Molecule: long non-coding RNA, 278 nt
Filed under: Mytilus galloprovincialis (Mediterranean mussel)
Lineage: Eukaryota; Metazoa; Mollusca; Bivalvia; Mytilida; Mytilidae
Source: RNAcentral
GCCCAGUCUUUAGUUUUUUCCGUUGUGUUUUGUGUACUGUUUUUGUCUGUUUCUUUUUUAGAAGCAAUGGCGUUGUUAGUUUAUUCUUGAGUGCGAAUGUCCCUUUGAUAUCUUUUAUCUUUUUUCUUUACAACUAUCUUACUUCGAUCCCGUUUUGUAUGAUCACAUGUACAUAAUGUCUGAUCCUCUGACCUACAAUACUUCGUUACGGCAUACAUGAGUCCAGCUGCCGUGAGUGCUUGGACAAAGGACGCCUCUCUUUUGGCUGUAAUAAAAAC